This 92-nucleotide non-coding RNA is filed under the name marine eukaryotic metagenome. The record is from RNAcentral.
GACUGACUCAAAGAUCCCGGAUGCGCAAUAUGGUUAUGAGAAAGGGCUCACCAUCGGGCUAGCCGCGCUUUCAGGCGCAAACCGGGUCUGCG